UUUCUCGAAAUAAUGAACAAAGUAAAAGGAGAGGUAUUUAUAGAUUGUUCUUGGAUAGCAGUGUUAUUAUUAAAUAUAAUUAAAUUAUCAAUUCCUUAUUUUUAUACUGGGUCAGUUUACUAUAUAUUUGAAAAAAAAAAAAAUGUUAUGUAUAACAGUUUUUUAGAUUGUUCUACCAUAGAUAGUCCUAAUUUUAUAACGAAUAAUGACAAAUAUAUGUCGGAAUGUAUUGUUAAGAAAGAAAACAAUGAAAAAUGUAGCAUAAGCACAAUUGAAGGCACAAAUAGAGUAACAAACAAUAACAGUUCAGAAAAUAUAAGUAAUCAUUGUUCCGAAUUAUUAUAUUGCAUUGAUUUAUUAUUAAAAACACCUAAUUUUACAAACAAUUAUAACAAUUUUAAAUCUAGUAAUAACAAUUUAUUGGCUCAAAUAAUAGAAGCAUUAUACAAUAUAACAUUACAUUCAGACUAUAUAAUUUCUUUUGCUAUUUUGAAAUUAAUUCAAUCUAUUUUUAUAAGUUAUCCACUAGUUAGACCAAUUAUAGAAAAUGAAGGUAUUAUUGUUCCAAGUAUACAUGACAAUUUAUCUACUUUUUAUCAAAAUAAUUUACUUUUUGCCAGUUUUUUUAAAAAUAUAUCCGACUUAGCUUUAGAUAUAUCUCUAAACGACUCAGAUGAAAAAUAUAAUGAUACUGUAAAAAACUAUAUACAACAAAACAAUUGUGAAAUUAAAAAUAAAAUUAUUCAUUUUAAUAUGAACUGUAUAGAAACAAGAGAAAUAAAGGAUGAAUAUUUUUUAAUAAACAAUAAUGACUUAACUACUUUUUAUAAAAAACAUAAUAUAUCAAACAUAAAUAUGAUUAAUGAUACAAAUUUGAAACUAAACGACAUUAUUGGCAACAAAAAUAAACCUACUUAUCUUAUUACAGAUACAGACAUAAAUACAGACAUAAAUACAGACAUAAAUACCAAUACAAUGAGUAUAUCAUUAAAUAAACUACCUCCUUAUAUGCUUACAGCAAUUGAUUUUAUUGAAUUAGUCUUUUCACCCUAUAAUAAAUUAACAAAUAUCUUACAAAAUAAACAAGAAGAUACAACAGACACAGAAAAAAAUCAUCAAAACAACAACUCGUUAUUUAUAAAUGGUAAAAAAACAAUACAUAAUAAAACAAACAGAAAGAAUAGUAAUCUUA
Molecule: long non-coding RNA, 1192 nt
Filed under: Piliocolobus tephrosceles (Ugandan red Colobus)
Lineage: Eukaryota; Metazoa; Chordata; Mammalia; Primates; Cercopithecidae
Description: lncRNA (ENSPTEG00000002417.1)
Source: RNAcentral